CGGGGAAGCUAGGAGCACUGCAGGAGAAUCUCGUGUUGAAAUAGAGACAAUCCCAAAACAAGCAUGCUUUUCUACACAAAACACAUUAACAUGAAGCUCUGUCUCACCUGGUGUCCACAAAUGAAGAGGAUCCUGGUUCCUGCCUUUAGGAAUUUGCAAUCAUUUUCCUGGAUUUGACAGCUCAGAAGAUGCCCUCUGAAAUAUGAUUCCAGAUUGUAGAUGACUCUCCUCUGUGAAAAGAUCAUCAUAAGAGAAGAUGGAAUUACCACCCCAUGAAUCAAUUUGAAGAAACACUGCUAUGUUUUAAUAUUUAUGUUUUUCAUGGCAAAUUUCAUGCUAAGUGUGAUUCAUUCUCAGAGAUCAAAUGAUCAGAUAGCCAGUGACAUUAUCUAAUGUCCAUCUCUUUGUAAUUAAAAGUCAACAGAGUCUGAAACUGAUGAGUUAGUGAUGAAAUGGAGCGGAACAUAUGGAAGUACUGGACUGUAUAGCCAUGGACUCUAAUGCUACUGAAGAAGCAAAGCUGUCCAAUUAUUGUCUCACAUACAAAUGUACAAGAUUAGAAAAGUUCUAACACCGACACUACAAAGAGAAUGCGCAGAUGAUCACAGUGAAGAGUAUCAUUUACUCUAAAGCAUUACAUUUGUAGAGUAAGAUUAAGAGAAAAUAUGGGAAAAUUUGAUGUUUUGGUCAGCAAGAGUGCUGAAUUCAAAAACUCAUGUUUGUCUUGAGCAAAUAUUUAUCAUUUGAUAAAUGAGAAUAGAAUGUAGGUUUAAUAAAUUACUAGAGAAACUUUCUAAAUAAUUUCAUGGUGGUCAACACUCACAUUUAUUAUAUCAACUCAGAAGAUGAAAAACAUAUUUUAGGGAUUACAAUAAAUAUGACUAGGCUCAGCUAAAGUUAAAAUGUAAAUGUUUACAAGUUGCAUUAAACAUUAAUAUUUACUGAUAGAGGUUUGCAGUUUCUAUGAAGCAAACUUACAAUAACUACAAAUCCAAACUAAUUGAUGCCACACUCUAUGGCUGAAAAAGAAAGACUGAGAGUUUGGUGGGGAUUUAAGCUACAGAGGUAUCAGGAGAGGGUUUCCAGCAGCAGCAGAGUGGCCUCCACACCCUCCAGGUAAAGGCACAGCACAAGGACACUGAACAUGAGAACAAUCAGGUAGGUCAGGGGUCAUAUGUAUUAGUUAUCUUUGGCAACAGUCAAACCAAACUCAUAAUGUGACACUACAGUUUUGUCGUUCUAAUAUGCUAUAUUCCUAGUAGACUCAUAUGUUCAAAUAUUUUGUCACCAGUAGACAUUUUUUGUUUGUUUGUUUUUUUUAAGUAAAUUUAUUUUACAACAUCAUUUAGUUCAA
This is a non-coding RNA of Peromyscus maniculatus bairdii (prairie deer mouse), 1354 nucleotides long. NCBI's taxonomy places the organism in Eukaryota, Metazoa, Chordata, Mammalia, Rodentia, Cricetidae. The record is from RefSeq and is a predicted model, not a curated record.